Molecule: long non-coding RNA, 5136 nt
Filed under: Lactuca sativa (garden lettuce)
Lineage: Eukaryota; Viridiplantae; Streptophyta; Magnoliopsida; Asterales; Asteraceae
Description: long non-coding RNA (LSAT_LNC007385)
Source: RNAcentral
CCCACUCUAUCUUAGUCCUUUUCUGCAGCCCAGGCUUGUUAUUAUUUCAUCUUGUUUUUUGUCUUAUAGUUUGUGGUCCCCUUCGUUGUUAUGCUCCUCCCACCACGUUCUGGUCCGUGGGGAUCCUUCUAGUGGGGAGCAGGGUCUGUGGUUUAUUCUGUUUUGUCUCCAGCUGUCUUAUAUAUAGUCCUGGAGGAUCUUUUGUUAUUUUUUCCUUAUGAAAAAAUCAAUGAAACAGUUCUUAUGAACUUGGGAGAGCACCCACCUCUAGAAUUGUGGGAACCUAUCAUUUACGUUUGAUUUAUUCUGUUGUGAAUUGCAAGUCUAAGCUAUCAACUGGUAUCAGAGCGAUAAGAUUCCAUGGGGGGAGCUUCCAAAGAAGCAGCGGCGGUGAAGAAGGUUGAAGAGCAAGUGGGGUUAAUGCAAGUCCAUCUUCAAUCUCAUGGGACGGAUAUCCAGGAGAUGAAGCUAACGAUGGAUAGCCUUCUUCAAGGCCAAGACCGAACAAAUCAACGACAGGAUGAACUGCAGUCGACCUUGGACAAGGUUUUGGAGAAACUCGAGACUGUAACAGGGACGCCAGGGGGGAGAACCCAAACACCGGUGGUUCUCUCAGGCAACAAUACUCCUUCUGGACCUACAACAAACAAGAACAAGGGAGUCGCGAGUUCUGUGAUUAGCGGUACGUUACCAGGCAGAGGAGGUUCUGGCGGACUUGGAGGAAACGGCGGUCCUGGUGGAAACGGCCUUGUGUUUGGGACUCUUUACCAAACUAACAACAACACCGGCGGUGGGAGGUACGAAUUCCGGCAUAGAAAAAUUGACAUGCCAACCUUUGAUGGGACGGAUCCAGACGGAUGGAUUCUUCAGGCGGAGCGCUAUUUCGCAAUAUAUCAACUCUUAGAUGAAGAGAAGAUUACGGCGGCUGUCCUCGCACUUAGUGGGGAUGCUUUGUCUUGGUAUCGUUGGUCCAACCAACGAGCUGAGAUACGAACAUGGGAAGUAAUGAAGGAGGUGUUCCUGAACAGAUUUCGCCCAAUACACGGUGGCGAUUUGUACAAGCAGUGGGCUGCCCUAACGCAGACCGGGACGGCGGAGGAAUACGUCCGGCGAUUCAUCGAAUUGUCGGCUCCGCUGGAAGGGUUAACAAAAAGGGUGGCGUUGGGAAAUUUCAUAGAUGGACUAUCGGAUCAGAUCAAGACAGAGCUACGACUUUGGACCCCCAGAGAUCUGGGCCGUGCCAUUGACUUAGCCCAACAAAUUGAAGAAAGGAACAGGGCCUUAUUCGCUAGCGGGUUCGGAUCCCUGGGAAUUCGGGGCAAUCAAACCGGAGGGCGUAGUAUUGGGGGAAAUCCGACCCAUUCUACCACUUUCUCUCAACCAGGAAGAUCGGGAAGUAAUGCUCGACCUCACCGAACACUGACUGAGGCUCAAAUCCAAGAUAAGAGGAGCCGUGGCGUAUGUUAUCGUUGUGAUGACAGGUGGUUCAAGGGACACGUCUGCAAAUCACAGGUUAACGUGAUUCUUGUAGAUGAGGAAGAACAGACACCUGAAGUUCCCCCUGACGAGGUCGACCCCGCUACUCUUGUUUCCACGGAGGUCAGCCCUGAAGUGGAAGUAUCCCUCAACUCGGUAGCAGGCUUAUCCUCCCCAAAGACGAUGAAGGUUAGAGGGGCUAUCGGGAAUCAACCGGUGGUAACCCUAAUUGACCCAGGGGCCACGCACAACUUCAUCUCUUCACAUCUGAUCCGCCUUGGGACUUCCAGUCGACGAGACAGAGCCUUACGGGGUGAGGAUGGGAACCGGUGAUAGCGAGAGGGGAACUGGGAUUUGCAGAGGGAUCUUACUUCACCUUAAGGAGCUCGACAUCACUGAGGAUUUCCUUCCCCUGCGGUUAGGAAGUUCUGAUGUCAUACUGGGAAUGCAAUGGUUAGAGACCCUUGGGGUGACAAAAACAAAUUGGAAAGAGCAGACAAUGGAAUUUGAUGUAGGAGGAAGAAAGGCUAAAAUCAAGGGGGACAAAUCUUUGGGAAAAUCCCUAAUCUCUCUCAAGGCUAUGACAAGGACGAUUGGGAAGGAGGGCAACGGCGUAUUUCUCGAGCUCUGUAACACGGAGGCUAAUGUGAUUCAACCCAGCAAUAGUCCCUAUUCCAGCCCGGUCAUCCUAGUGAAGAAAAAAGACGGGUCCUGGAGAUUCUGUGUAGACUACAGGGCCUUAAAUCGAGCUACUGUCCCCGAUAAAUUCCCUAUCCCUGUUAUAGACGAGUUGUUGGAUGAACUUCAUGGAUCGGUCAUUUUCAGCAAACUCAACUUGAAGUCGGGGUAUCACCAAAUCCGGAUUCGAAAGGAAGACGUUCCCAAGACCGCGUUCCGAACACACGACGGGCAUUAUGAGUUCAAAGUAAUGCCUUUUGGUCUUACUAAUGCCCGGGCCACUUUUCAAGCACUUAUGAAUGAUGUAUUCCGUCCCUACCUAAGGAAGUUCAUUUUGAUUUUCUUUGACGACAUCUUAAUUUACAGCCCAAGUGAGGAACUACAUCGAGAGCAUGUGCUCACAGCUUUCCGAAAGUUAAAGGAGCACCAACUCUUUGUGAAUUUCAAGAAAUGUGAGUUCGGAAAGAGGAGACUAACAUAUUUGGGGCACGUGAUAUCAGCUGAAGGGGUGUCUGCUGAAGACAACAAAAUCCAAGCAAUGCAGGAUUGGCCUACCCCGAGCAAUCUCAAAGGGCUUAGGGGAUUCCUCGGACUCACCGGGUAUUACCGGAAAUUCGUACAAGGGUAUGCUAACAUAGCCAAACCCCUUACUGAACAGUUAAAAAAGGAUAAGUUUGGCUGGAAUGAGGAAGCCAACGGGGCAUUCUUACAACUGAAAAAAGCCAUGACCACAGUCCCAGUGUUGGCUAAGCCCGACUUCAACAAACUCUUCGUUGUGGAGACGGAUGCAUCCGGUCAUGGACUGGGGGCCGUGUUGAUGCAGGAAAACCGGCCGAUAGCCUACUACAGUUCCACCUUGGGUGUUCAAGCUCGCCUUAAAUCUAUUUAUGAGAAAGAACUCAUGGCAAUUGUCAUGGCAGUCCUCAAAUGGAGACCCUAUCUGCUGGGAAGAAAGUUUGUGGUGCGCACCGAUCAGCUGAGUCUCAAAUACAUUCUGGAACAACGGAUGGUGGGAAGUGAUUAUCAAAAAUGGAUUUCGAAACUCAUGGGUUUCAAUUUCGAUAUCCAGUACCGGCCGGGAGCAAGCAACCGUGUGGCGGAUGCCCUUUCGCGAAAGGAGAACCAGCUAGAUUGUAACUCCAUUUCCGUGGGGGUCUGGAAGUUUUGGGAUCAACCGAAAGAAGAAAUGGCCCGGGAUGAAUUCAUACAAAAAGUUAAGGUUGACUUGGAGCGUGAUGUGGAAUCACACAAAGGGUAUUCCACGUACCAAGGUAACCUUCUGUUCAAGGGAAGGCUAGUGGUUCCCUCCUCGACAGCCCUCUUACCCGAGAUUCUAGCCAUGUAUCACGAUUCUCCAAUUGGGGGGCAUGCAGGGGAGAAGAAAACUUACAUGCGAGCAGCAGCGGAACUGUUUUGGCCUGGAAUGCGCACCACCAUCAUGGAAUACGUGAGGAACUGCAAGAUUUGUCAAACCCACAAAACUCUCACUAUGUCCCCGGUGGGGCUGCUUCAACCCAUCCCUCUUCCGACGCAAACAUGGGACGAAGUGACUAUGGAUUUUAUUGAAGGCCUUCCGAAAUCGAGUGGCUGGGACACUAUAUGGGUGGUGGUUGACAGGCUGACAAAAUAUGCCCACUUUAUCCCUCUCAAACAUCCCUUCACAGCAACUGCGGUUGCCAGUGAAUUCAUCAAAGAAAUUGUAAGGUUGCACGGUUUUCCCUCUUCUAUUAUCAGCGAUAGAGACCGAAUCUUUGUGAGCCAACUCUGGAGCGAGAUGUUCCGUUUACAUGGGGUACAACUGAAGAAAAGCACGGCCUACCACCCUCAAGCAGACGGGCAGUCUGAGGUGGUGAAUCGUUGUCUGGAAACUUACUUGCGAUGUUUUUGUUCAGAAAAACCCAAGAGUUGGGCACGUUGGCUUUCAUGGGCGGAGUUAUGGUAUAAUACUUCUUACCACACCUCCAUCAAUUGCACCCCGUUCAAGGCCCUGUAUGGUCGUGACCCACCUCCCAUCCUCCGUUAUGAGGGACAACACACUACUAUGGAUGCAAUCGACCAACUUCUAGAAGAUCGGGAUGCCAUCCUGGAUGACCUUCGAGUGCAUUUGAUCAGGGCUCAACAGAAAAUGGUUAUGCAGGCCAACAAGCAUCGUCGAGAAGUGGAGUUCAACGAAGGAGACAAGGUCUACGUGAAACUUCGCCCAUACCGACAACAAAGUCUUGCCAAGAGGAAGUAUGAAAAAUUGGCUCCUAAAUACUAUGGACCCUAUCGCAUUAGCCAACGGAUUGGCAAAGUAGCCUACAAGUUGGACCUACCUCCAACACCUACCAUCCAUCCCGUAUUUCAUGUGUCUCAAUUGAGGGCAGCCCAUGGCGAGCCUACUGUUAGCAAUGAUCUGCCUCCACAACUCAAUACAGAGAUGGAACUAAUCCUCCAACCGUUGUUGCUUCGAGGGGUACGGAUUGGAAAGGGCAAGGAUCAAGGAAGAGAAGUUUUGAUUCAAUGGAAGGGGCUGUUAGAAGCGGAAGCCACUUGGGAAGAUUUUAACAGGUUCCACCUCCAGUUUCCAGAAUUUAACCUUGAGGGCAAGGUUCGAGUUUGGGAGGCGGGUAUUGAUAGGCCCAAGGACGUCCAUGUCUACAAAAGGGGAAGGAACAAACCACAUCAGCCCACUCCAGAUUAGUCCUUUUCUGCAGCCCAGGCUUGUUAUUAUUUCAUCUUGUUUUUUGUCUUAUAGUUUGUGGUCCCCUUCGUUGUUAUGCUCCUCCCACCACGUUCUGGUCCGUGGCGAUCCUUCUAGUGGGGAGCAGGGUCUGUGGUUUAUUCUGUUUUGUCUCCAGCUGUCUUAUAUAUAGUCCUGGAGGAUCUUUUGUUAUUUUUUCCUUAUGAAAAAAUCAAUGAAACAGUUCUUAUGAACUUGGGAGAGCACCCACCUCUAGAAUUGUGGGAACCUAUCAAUUACGUUUGAUUUAUUCUGUUGUG